Molecule: ribosomal RNA, 301 nt
Filed under: uncultured bacterium
Lineage: Bacteria
Description: partial 16S ribosomal RNA
Rfam family: Bacterial small subunit ribosomal RNA
Source: RNAcentral
CAGCAGCCGCGGGAAUACGGGGGGGGCAAGUGUUAUUCGGAAUGACUGGGCGUAAAGGGCACGUAGGCGGUGAAAAGGGUGGAAAGUGAAAGUCGCCAAAACACUGGCGGGGUGCUUUCUUGACCAUUUCACUUGAGUGAGAUAGGGGAGAGUGGAAUUUCGUGUGGAGGGAUCAAAUCCUAAGAUAUACGAAGGAACGCCAACCGCGAAGGCAGCUCUCUGGGUCCCCACUGACGCUGGGGUGCGAAAGCAUGGGGAGCAAACAGGAUCAGAUACCCCUGUAGUCCCUGUCUCUUAUACC